GUUGUGGCUCAGUGGUAGAGCACUUGCCUAGCAUGUGCGAGGCCCUGGGUUUGAUCCUCAGCACAACA
Molecule: transfer RNA, 68 nt
Filed under: Marmota monax (woodchuck)
Lineage: Eukaryota; Metazoa; Chordata; Mammalia; Rodentia; Sciuridae
Description: tRNA.Ala
Source: RNAcentral